UCUAAACACGUGGUCACAUGUGUUUAGUGAUGGACAGUAUUUUAGAAGAUAUGCUGAGUGUAAUGGAGACACACAUUGACUUUGAGAGGCUAUUAGAAGAAUUAGGAUCAGAAGCAACCAAUCUUCUUGAUAUAUCACAAGGUUGGUUUGAUGGUUUGAAACGAGCGAUAGAUCAUCAAGCAAUGAGUCUGUCUCGGUCUCCAGAGACGUUUGGUACAUGGAUAAACUAAAGGAAACAAAUGAAGAUAAGGUGAUUGAUGGGGUAAUUAGUGUGGGUGUGGUUUUACGAGAUUUGAUGUACAUUAAUCAUCAAAAUUUAAUCCAAUU
Long non-coding RNA from Amphimedon queenslandica, 327 nucleotides. RefSeq lists it as uncharacterized. The transcript has 4 exons. The record is from RefSeq and is a predicted model, not a curated record. Lineage: Eukaryota; Metazoa; Porifera; Demospongiae; Haplosclerida; Niphatidae.